This is a long non-coding RNA of Rattus norvegicus (Norway rat), 509 nucleotides long. RefSeq lists it as uncharacterized. The record is from RefSeq and is a predicted model, not a curated record. Lineage: Eukaryota; Metazoa; Chordata; Mammalia; Rodentia; Muridae.
GAAAGGAAAUGUAUUCUGCUGUGUAGGAGUCACUCACCAGGCAACAAAGCACUCCAAAGGACUAUUUCUCUGGGAUGUUCUCUCUCACCUAGUCCUCCGCUGAGAAAAUGAAAACUACUUUAAAAUGAUCACCCCUGACACGGGUGGGGAAGAUGGUAACAGGUAAAGCUGAAGAUACACAAAGCCCAGGAUGCUGUUAAAGGAGUUAUCGGUGUGGGAUGGUGGGUAGCCCUGCCUCCCAACCACCACAGGCAGAGCCAGUCCUGUGAACCUCACUGGUGACUCAGCUGCAGAAUAGCAUUCAUCAUCUCUGUGUUCUAAGCAAACUCUGUAAAAGAGUCAUUGGACCACAAAAGAGACAUGACCCAUGGUUGAGAACUUCUUCAACAAACCUAAAAAACAAACUCUUCACAGGAAGUGUUACAAAGGCCCCACCUCUCUAUGAACCAGUUAACUUGUAUGAAUACAGUUGAGAUAGUCUGCAAAGAAGUUGAGUCAUUUGUCUUAAA